Molecule: long non-coding RNA, 219 nt
Filed under: Vigna radiata
Lineage: Eukaryota; Viridiplantae; Streptophyta; Magnoliopsida; Fabales; Fabaceae
Description: long non-coding RNA (VRAD_LNC002642)
Source: RNAcentral
GUAUAUUCAUUAAUGGACAAUCAGGGAUCACGUAGUUCUUUAUCUAGAAAAAGGUUUGUGAGUUUGUUUAAAAAUUAUUAUGGAUUGUUUGACAUUUUUCGAAAAAAGUGAAAAGGUUUUGUUUAACAAAAUUGAGCUUUUGGUUUUAAAUAUUUUGUGUAUUUUUCCUGUUAAAAAAAUGGUGGAAAAAGAAGAAAAGAAAGUGGUCAUAGGUCGACG